CAACUGAGAAGGACCUGAACAGUCUUCCAUGCACAUCACGGGUCAGAGUAAAGAUUAUCCAUCAAAAAUGGAGAAGAUGUCAUGGGAUCCAGCCGAGCUGACACAAGUUAUCAUAAUUGGAAUCUUUCAAACAUGUUGAUAACCAAACAUGUACAAGAGAAAACCCAGGUGACAGGAAAUUCUGAAGACAAGCUAGGAGGGUGACUCCAUAGAAGAAUCUAAAAAAGAGGCAGCCACUGAAACUUCAGGAAACUGAAAGAAUUCGCCAUCACACCACUGUUCAGAUUGACAGAUGUUUCCAGAAGGCAAGCAUGAAUACCAGGACUGAAGCAAACAGAAAAGCAGCCAAGGAAGGAUGAAGAGGAGAAACAAAUGAUAAUAUUGACGACUGAAGCUGGGACCUUUCAUAAGCUAAACAAGCACAACCUCAUGGAGGUGUCUGAACUUCAGCAUACAAGCAAGUGUUCCCCAGCCUCUUAGAUUCCGUACUGGGGAUGCUGUAAAGUCCUUGGUGUAGAAUAUGUCUGGACACAGCACUGUAGACCUGUGCUGUGUUACAGACAAAGUGACUAAUGUUACUGGCACCUCAGGUUAUUUUUUAAGCAAGUGAAAUUUCAAAGUCAACACAUUCCCAUUGAUUAUGGAACAAAAUGAUCCCAGGACUUUUGAUUUGGUCCAGGAUUAUGACCAUCUCUCAAGCUACACCAUGGAUGCCAGCCACCUUGAGUGAAUGAAAUGUUUCUGUCCUAGUCCAUGAUGUCCACCUUACUAUAGACCAGAAACAAGAAUCAAAAGACAAUGGGGUGCAGCUGGGGAGAUGACUCACUUGGUAAAGUAUUGGGUGUGCAGGAGAAUGAGACAUUGUUUUAUUGAGUGGAGGAAAACGCCUCCAGUGUCCUGAAUCUCGACACAGUCAAAGUUGUCUAGAUUCUUCCCAGGCUUCUUGGAUACGUGUCAACCAAGAUGUGGUUUUUGUACAUAAGAAGCAAAGAACAAUGAGACUUGGAGCUACACAGUUUGGGCAAGUCCCCCACACAGCCUGCUGGCCAUUGAGCCAUCAAAUAAAGAUUUUCUAUUGA
Long non-coding RNA from Mastomys coucha (southern multimammate mouse), 1079 nucleotides. RefSeq lists it as uncharacterized. The record is from RefSeq and is a predicted model, not a curated record. The transcript is spliced from 11 exons. NCBI's taxonomy places the organism in Eukaryota, Metazoa, Chordata, Mammalia, Rodentia, Muridae.